This 301-nucleotide ribosomal RNA is filed under the name uncultured bacterium. Its description in RNAcentral is "partial 16S ribosomal RNA". It matches the Rfam family "Bacterial small subunit ribosomal RNA", at positions 509 to 807 of the family's 1533-position model. The record is from RNAcentral.
CAGCAGCCGCGGUAAUACGUAGGGUGCAAGCGUUAAUCGGAAUUACUGGGCGUAAAGCGUGCGUAGGCGGUUUGUUAAGUCUGUUGUGAAAUCCCCGGGCUCAACCUGGGAAUGGCAAUGGAUACUGGCAAGCUAGAGUGUGUCAGAGGAUGGUGGAAUUCCCGGUGUAGCGGUGAAAUGCGUAGAGAUCGGGAGGAACAUCAGUGGCGAAGGCAGCCCCCUGGGCCAAUACUGACGCUCAUGCACGAAAGCGUGGGGAGCAAACAGGAUUAGAUACCCCCGUAGUCCCUGUCUCUUAUAC